Molecule: transfer RNA, 63 nt
Filed under: Perula sp. 1 HFZ-2022c
Lineage: Eukaryota; Metazoa; Arthropoda; Insecta; Lepidoptera; Pyralidae
Description: tRNA-Cys
Source: RNAcentral
AGUCUUGUAGUCAAUAUAUGAUAUAAAAUUGCAAAUUUUAAGUAAUAGGUAAUAUUAAGGCUU